GAUGAAGAACGUAGUGAAAUGCGAUAAGUAGUGUGAAUUGCAGAAUUCAGUGAAUCAUCGAAUCUUUGAACGCACAUUGCGCCGUUUGGUAGUCCUUAGGGCAUGCCUGUUCGAGCGUCAUUUGAAACCUCAAGCUCAGCUUGGUGUUGGGUGUCUGUCCCCGCCUCACCGCGGGGACUCGCCUCAAAAUCAUUGGCGGCCGGUACGUUGGCUUCGAGCGCAGCAGAAACGCGAACUCGAGGCCCGGCGGAUCGGCGACCAGAAGUCACUUCUUCACAGUUUGACCUCGGAUCAGGUAGGGAUACCCGCUGAACUUAAGCAUAUCAAUAAGCGGAGGA
Molecule: unclassified non-coding RNA, 338 nt
Filed under: soil metagenome
Description: partial contains 5.8S ribosomal RNA, internal transcribed spacer 2, and large subunit ribosomal RNA
Rfam family: 5.8S ribosomal RNA (bases 1-120)
Source: RNAcentral